CCCUCUGGACUGAGAUACCCUCGGGAAACUGAGGUCAAUCUCGGAUACUGCUUCCGUGUUGGAACACAGGAAGCUGGAAACGGUCCGCCGCCGGAGGACGUGACUGCGGCUGAUUAGGUAGACGGUGGGGUAACGGCCCACCGUGCCGAUAAUCAGUACGGGUUGUGAGAGCAAGAGCCCGGAGACGGAAUCUGAGACAAGAUUCCGGGCCCUACGGGGCGCAGCAGCCGCGAAACCUUUACACUGCACGCCAGUGCGAUAAGGGGAUCCCGAGUGCGAGGGCAUACAGUCCUCGCUUUUCGCGACCGUAAGGUGGUCGCAGAAUAAGGGCUGGGCAAGACCGGUGCCAGCCGCCGCGGUAAUACCGGCAGCCCGAGUGAUAGCCAAUUUUAUUGGGCCUAAAGCGUCCGUAGCUGGCCGAACAGGUCCGUCGGGAAAUCCACCCGCUUAACGGGUGGGCGUCCGGCGGAAACCAGUCGGCUUGGGGCCGAGAGACCAAAGGGGUACGUCCGGGGUAGGAGUGAAAUCCCGUAAUCCUGGACGGACCACCGGUUGCGAAAGCGCCUUUGGAGAACGGACCCGACAGUGAGGGACGAAAGCUAGGGUCUCGAACCGGAUUAGAUACCCGGGUAGUCCUAGCCGUAAACGAUGCUCGCUAGGUGUGACGCAGGCUACGAGCCUGCGUUGCGCCGUAGGGAAGCCGAGAAGCGAGCCGCCUGGGAAGUACGUCCGCAAGGAUGAAACUUAAAGGAAUUGGCGGGGGAGCACUACAACCGGAGGAGCCUGCGGUUUAAUUGGACUCAACGCCGGACAUCUCACCGGCACCGACAACGUGCAGUGACGGUCAGUUUGAUGAGCUUACCUGAGCCGUUGAGAGGAGGUGCAUGGCCGCCGUCAGCUCGUACCGUGAGGCGUCCUGUUAAGUCAGGCAACGAGCGAGACCCGCGUCCAUAAUUGCCAGCAGCACCCUUGUGGUGGCUGGGUACAUUAUGGAGACUGCCGUCGCUAAGACGGAGGAAGGAACGGGCAACGGUAGGUCAGUAUGCCCCGAAUGUGCCGGGCGACACGCGGGCUACAAUGGCCAGGACAGUGGGACGCUACCCCGAGAGGGGACGCUAAU
This 1120-nucleotide ribosomal RNA is filed under the name Halococcus sp. IARI-SOAB4. RNAcentral describes it as "bacterial SSU rRNA". It matches the Rfam family "Archaeal small subunit ribosomal RNA", at positions 112 to 1228 of the family's 1478-position model. The record is from RNAcentral. Lineage: Archaea; Methanobacteriati; Methanobacteriota; Halobacteria; Halobacteriales; Halococcaceae.